RNAcentral lists this ribosomal RNA (472 nucleotides) under uncultured bacterium. RNAcentral's name for it is "bacterial SSU rRNA". It matches the Rfam family "Bacterial small subunit ribosomal RNA", at positions 355 to 825 of the family's 1533-position model. The record is from RNAcentral.
UGGGGAAUAUUGGACAAUGGGGGAAACCCUGAUCCAGCGACGCCGCGUGUGUGAAGAAGGCCUGCGGGUUGUAAAGCACUUUCGGUGGGAACGAAAUAUGCCGGGCUAAUACCCCGGUAGGCUGACGUUACUCAAUGAAGAAGCACCGGCUAACUCUGUGCCAGCAGCCGCGGUAAUACAGAGGGUGCGAGCGUUAAUCGGAAUUACUGGGCGUAAAGUGCACGUAGGUGGCGACGUAAGUCGGGUGUGAAAGCCCCGGGCUCAACCUGGGAACCGCAUUCGAGACUGCGUUGCUGGAGUACGGAAGAGGAGGGCGGAAUUCCCGGUGUAGCGGUGAAAUGCGUAGAUAUCGGGAGGAACAUCAGUGGCGAAGGCGGCCCUCUGGUCCAGUACUGACACUCAAGUGCGAAAGCGUGGGGAGCAAACAGGAUUAGAUACCCCCGUAGUCCCUGAGCGGGCUGGCAAGGCGCAU